RNAcentral lists this non-coding RNA (152 nucleotides) under Desulfobacula sp. RNAcentral's name for it is "FMN sequence". It matches the Rfam family "FMN riboswitch aptamer (RFN element)". From Rfam's summary of the family: The RFN element is a highly conserved domain that is found frequently in the 5'-untranslated regions of prokaryotic mRNAs that encode for flavin mononucleotide (FMN) biosynthesis and transport proteins. The record is from RNAcentral. Lineage: Bacteria; Pseudomonadati; Thermodesulfobacteriota; Desulfobacteria; Desulfobacterales; Desulfobacteraceae.
AUUUAUUCUCAGGGCGGGGUGAAAUUCCCCACCGGCGGUAAUCCGGAUUUUCAUCCGGAAAGCCCGCGAGCGCUCCAUGACAUUGAUGGAGGUCAGCAGAUCUGGUGAAACUCCAGGGCCGACGGUAAAAGUCCGGAUGGAAGAGAAUAUUU